AUUGAACGCUGGCGGCAGGCUUAACACAUGCAAGUCGAACGAUGAUUAUCUAGCUUGCUAGAGAAGAUUAGUGGCGGACGGGUGAGUAACAUUUAGGAAUCUGCCUAGUAGUGGGGGAUAGCUCGGGGAAACUCGAAUUAAUACCGCAUACGACCUACGGGUGAAAGGGGGCGCAAGCUCUUGCUAUUAGAUGAGCCUAAAUCAGAUUAGCUAGUUGGUGGGGUAAAGGCCCACCAAGGCGACGAUCUGUAACUGGUCUGAGAGGAUGAUCAGUCACACCGGAACUGAGACACGGUCCGGACUCCUACGGGAGGCAGCAGUGGGGAAUAUUGGACAAUGGGGGCAACCCUGAUCCAGCCAUGCCGCGUGUGUGAAGAAGGCCUUUUGGUUGUAAAGCACUUUAAGCAGGGAGGAGAGGCUAAUGGUUAAUACCCAUUAGAUUAGACGUUACCUGCAGAAUAAGCACCGGCUAACUCUGUGCCAGCAGCCGCGGUAAUACAGAGGGUGCGAGCGUUAAUCGGAAUUACUGGGCGUAAAGCGAGUGUAGGUGGCUCAUUAAGUCACAUGUGAGAUCCCCCGGGCUUAACCUGGGAACUGCAUGUGAUACUGGUGGUGCUAGAAUAUGUUAGAGGGAAGUAGAAUUCCAGGUGUAGCGGUGAAAUGCGUAGAGAUCUGGAGGAAUACCGAUGGCGAAGGCAGCUUCCUGGCAUAAUAUUGACACUGAGAUUCGAAAGCGUGGGUAGCAAACAGGAUUAGAUACCCUGGUAGUCCACGCCGUAAACGAUGUCUACUAGCCGUUGGGGUCCUUGAGACUUUAGUGGCGCAGUUAACGCGAUAAGUAGACCGCCUGGGGAGUACGGCCGCAAGGGUUAAAACUCAAAUGAAUUGACGGGGGCCCGCACAAGCGGUGGAGCAUGUGGUUUAAUUCGAUGCAACGCGAAGAACCUUACCUGGUCUUGACAUAGUGAGAAUCCUGCAGAGAUGCGGGAGUGCCUUCGGGAAUUCACAUACAGGUGCUGCAUGGCUGUCGUCAGCUCGUGUCGUGAGAUGUUGGGUUAAGUCCCGCAACGAGCGCAACCCUUUUCCUUACUUGCCAGCGGGUUAAGCCGGGAACUUUAAGGAUACUGCCAGUGACAAACUGGAGGAAGGCGGGGACGACGUCAAGUCAUCAUGGCCCUUACGACCAGGGCUACACACGUGCUACAAUGGUAGGUACAGAGGGUUGCUACACAGCGAUGUGAUGCUAAUCUCAAAAAGCCUAUCGUAGUCCGGAUUGGAGUCUGCAACUCGACUCCAUGAAGUCGGAAUCGCUAGUAAUCGCAGAUCAGAAUGCUGCGGUGAAUACGUUCCCGGGCCU
Molecule: ribosomal RNA, 1357 nt
Filed under: uncultured bacterium
Lineage: Bacteria
Description: bacterial SSU rRNA
Rfam family: Bacterial small subunit ribosomal RNA
Source: RNAcentral